Molecule: long non-coding RNA, 604 nt
Filed under: Pan troglodytes (chimpanzee)
Lineage: Eukaryota; Metazoa; Chordata; Mammalia; Primates; Hominidae
Description: lincRNA
Source: RNAcentral
UCAAUUCACUCGACAACAAGAGAAACAAAUGGAGAUUCCUACACAAAGACUUUCAAGCACAAAGAAAUCCUGCUGCCUGUAAAGUGGAGCUGCCUCAGCUCUUGAUGAACGACAGAAAAUACCACCUACUGCCAGACCUCAACGCCUCACAAAACUCUCACCCACCUACUGCUUUUAGCUCACAUUCCAGGAAUUCAGAUGAAGUGAAGUGCUCUCAUGGGGACCAGGCAUGGUUAUUCCAGUCCACUGCCCUGCAAGCCUCAAGGGAAGCCAACUGCCCUUCAGCAAGUCACACCUGCCUUGGUGGAGGCCUUGAUUGGAAGUGCCACACGCUACAUGUCCAGUCCUGAGCGGGAGAAUCGGUGUAGGGACGUUGUGGGGAUGCCGGCUGUGGCCAGAUCAGGUCCAGCUACAGAAGAAUGAAGACUCCACCUGAGGGCUGGAAAAACAAAACCUCAAGUGUGAGGCAGCCAACCUGUUACCUCGAGGGACUGUCCCGCAGCACAGCGGGGCCAUGGGAACAGCAGCAGACACCCCGGCCUCCUCGCUACCUGUGUGUGUAUUAACGCCCCGGCCCCCUCACUACCUAUCAACUAUGGCCUGA